AGAACAAAUAUAAGACUAUGAUUCCAAAAACAAUCAUGUAAAGAAUACUGAAUAUGAUGAUCAUUUUGAGUGGCUGCAUUUAAGAAAUAAAUCCAAGAGUUGCCAAUCUUCCAGCUCUCAGCCCCAACCCAAGAAGAGCAAGUAAGCAAGACAGAAACAUGGUUUCAUCCAGAGCAUCUUCUUCCAGCCAAGUGUAAUUUACAGCAGAGUGUUUGGUUCAUGUGUCACACAAGAAUUAUACAAGCUCGCUGCUUGCCCUGAGAAUAAAUAUGCGCUCCUCAUUCAGGAGCUUAAGGGAAUCCUCGAACUUGAGAUACAGUUAUCUUUCCACCAUUUUUGUUCAAGUCAGCUAACAUUCGUCUUGACUCAGAAAGGAGCACACCAGCAGGAUGAGACUGGAGACAAUAGGCCUUUCUAAGAGCCACCAAAGGAAGUCAACAGCUGGCUCAGAUCCCCUCAUCACCCACAGCACUGCCGUCCCUCCCCUGCCAGGCCUGGCCUCUUUCCUCCCAUAAACAUGGCAAGUGUAAUAGGUCUUGUCAAAGGUCACUAUAAAAUAACCUCAGGAGAUGUUAGAUAGAGGUGUCCACAGAAAUGCAACAACGUGCUGACAAGGAAA
This is a long non-coding RNA of Eptesicus fuscus (big brown bat), 619 nucleotides long. RefSeq lists it as uncharacterized. NCBI's taxonomy places the organism in Eukaryota, Metazoa, Chordata, Mammalia, Chiroptera, Vespertilionidae. The transcript has 4 exons. The record is from RefSeq and is a predicted model, not a curated record.